RNAcentral lists this ribosomal RNA (253 nucleotides) under uncultured bacterium. RNAcentral's name for it is "partial 16S ribosomal RNA". It matches the Rfam family "Bacterial small subunit ribosomal RNA", at positions 524 to 776 of the family's 1533-position model. The record is from RNAcentral.
UACAGAGGGGGCGAGCGUUGUUCGGAAUUACUGGGCGUAAAGGGCGCGUAGGCGGCCCGCUAAGUCGAACGUGAAAUCCCCAGGCUCAACCUGGGAACUGCGUCCGAUACUGGCAGGCUUGAAUCCGGGAGAGGGAUGUGGAAUUCCAGGUGUAGCGGUGAAAUGCGCAGAUAUCAGGAGGAACACCAAUUGCGAAGGCAGCUCGCUGGGACGUUACUGACGCUGAGACGCGAAAGCGUGGGGAGCAAACAGG